UUCCCAGGAUCCAAUUAUUGGUCUGUUCUUUUCCUUUUCUCCCAGCCUUUCCAUCCGUGCACAGGCCAGGUUGGGCAGGAAAUAAUGAGCCAUGUCUAAUAGAAGCCACAACCCUGCUGCUAACUUGACUGACCCUGACAAGGUUUUUGAUUCCUUUAGAUCCUGAGGUCUGUUAAGUGAGUGAUGGAAUUUCAACCCAGUGUUGUCUUAGGAAAGAAGGCAGAUCUACUGGCUGGAGGUGUAACUUUGUAGUGGGACGCUUCUCUGCAACGUAGAGUCUUAGGUUGCAUGGCUAGGCACUGAAAUUAAACAAACAAACAAACAACAGUAAAAAACAACAAAAGAAAUUUGUUGGCUGAAAAAUCCAGGGAGAAUGCUCUUCAAGCACAUCUGGAUUCAGGUCUCAAACACGCUGCAGGAUCUGUAUCUCUUGGUUCCAUCUUCCUCUGGGAUGAUUUCACGCUCAUCUGGGGAAAGGUGACCCCUAAUGGCUCAACCCA
Myodes glareolus (Bank vole) is the source of this 500-nucleotide non-coding RNA. The record is from RefSeq and is a predicted model, not a curated record. Lineage: Eukaryota; Metazoa; Chordata; Mammalia; Rodentia; Cricetidae.